CAACAACUACCCAGUAUAUUCCCACCAGGUGGGAGUCUGGGGAGGGCAAUAUGUAGACAAGCCUUACCCCUACCCGAAAGGGCAGGGAGGCUGUUUCCAAUCGACCCUCGGCGCAUAGGACAAAUGGAAAAACAGCUGUAAAACAAAACAAAAACAAAAAGCAUUAGUGACUCCCGCAGAAAAUAGUGAAAAUAAUUAACUAAAAAU
Molecule: long non-coding RNA, 207 nt
Filed under: Nicotiana benthamiana
Lineage: Eukaryota; Viridiplantae; Streptophyta; Magnoliopsida; Solanales; Solanaceae
Description: long non-coding RNA (NBEN_LNC005130)
Source: RNAcentral